This 443-nucleotide ribosomal RNA is filed under the name uncultured bacterium. RNAcentral describes it as "SSU rRNA". It matches the Rfam family "Bacterial small subunit ribosomal RNA", at positions 26 to 518 of the family's 1533-position model. The record is from RNAcentral.
AGAGCGAACGCUGGCGGCAGGCCUAACACAUGCAAGUCGAGCGCCCCGCAAGGGGAGCGGCAGACGGGAGAGUAACACGUGGGAACGUACCCUUCAGUUCGGAACAACCCAGGGAAACUUGGGCUAAUACCGAAUACGUCCGUAAGGAGAAAGAUUUAUCGCUGAAGGAUCGGCCCGCGUCUGAUUAGCUUGUUGGUGAGGUAACGGCUCACCAAGGCGACGAUCAGUAGCUGGUCUGAGAGGAUGAUCAGCCUCACUGGGACUGAGACACGGCCCAGACUCCUACGGGAGGCAGCAGUGGGGAAUAUUGGACAAUGGGCGCAAGCCUGAUCCAGCCAUGCCGCGUGGGUGAUGAAGGCCCUAGGGUUGUAAAGCCCUUUCGGCGGGAAGAUAAUGACGGUACCCGCAGAAGAAGCCCCGGCUAACUUCGCGCCAGCAGCCGC